CGGUUGAUCCUGCCGGAGGUUACUGCUAUCGGGGUUCGAUUAAGCCAUGCAAGUUAAAUGUUUUUCGUAAACAUAGCGAACUGCUCAGUAACACGUGGAUAACUUAACCUUAGGUCCGGCAUAACCCCGGGAAACUGGGGAUAAUUCCGGAUGUAUCAAAGAUGCUGGAAUGCCCUUUGGUUCAAAGCUUUUGUGCCUAAGGAUAGGUCUGCGGUCUAUCAGGUUGUAGUGGGUGUAACGUACCUACUAGCCGACGACGGAUACGGGUUGUGAGAGCAAGAGCCCGGAGAUGGAUUCUGAGACAAGAAUCCAGGCCCUACGGGGUGCAGCAGGCGCGAACACUUUACAAUGCGGGAAACCGCGAUAAGGGAACCCCGAGUGCCAGUACUAAGUGCUGGCUGUCUAGAUGAAUAGAUAUCAUUUAAUAGCAAGGGCCGGGCAAGACCGGUGCCAGCCGCCGCGGUAACACCGGCGGCCCGAGUGGUAACCGAUAUUAUUGGGUCUAAAGGGUCCGUAGCCUGUUUAAUAAGUCCUUUGGGAAAUCUGGCAGCUUAACUGUCAGGCUGCUAAAGGAUACUGUUAAACUUGGGACCGGUAGACGUAGGGGGUACUCCAGGGGUAGGAGUGAAAUCUUGUAAUCCCUGGGGGACCAUCUGUGGCGAAGGCGCCCUACGAGAACGGGUCCGACGGUGAGGGACGAAAGCUAGGGGAGCAAACCGGAUUAGAUACCCGGGUAGUCCUAGCUGUAAACGAUGCUCGCUAGGUGUCAGGCACGGUGCGUCCGUGUCUGGUGCCGCAGGGAAGCCGUUAAGCGAGCCACCUGGGGAGUACGGUCGCAAGGCUGAAACUUAAAGGAAUUGGCGGGGGAGCACUACAACGGGUGGAGCCUGCGGUUUAAUUGGAUUCAACGCCGGA
RNAcentral lists this ribosomal RNA (915 nucleotides) under uncultured archaeon. Its description in RNAcentral is "bacterial SSU rRNA". It matches the Rfam family "Archaeal small subunit ribosomal RNA", at positions 5 to 922 of the family's 1478-position model. The record is from RNAcentral.